UUCUUAUUGGAUGAUGACUGUCACGUGUCAUAUUCUGAUUGGAUGUCAAAUCAUGGAAGAUGAAAUGCAUUAUUGGUGUCAUUGGUCAAUCAGAACAUGGCACGUGACAGUCCUGAUAA
Non-coding RNA from Glycine soja, 119 nucleotides. The record is from Rfam. NCBI's taxonomy places the organism in Eukaryota, Viridiplantae, Streptophyta, Magnoliopsida, Fabales, Fabaceae.